CGGUGGAAAAGAAACUAACAAGGAUUCCCCUAGUAGCGGCGAGCGAAGCGGGAAGAGCCCAAUAUGAAAAGCCUGCUUGCAGGCGUUGUAUUUUGAGCGUUCUUGGGGUUUCAGCUUGGGCAAGUCGCAUGGAAAUGCGUACCGUGGAGGGUGAAAGUCCCGUCCAGCCCAAGCAGGAAAUUCUGUACUAGAGCGUUUCUAACGAGUCGGGUAGCUUGGGAAUGCUGCUCUAAUCGGUGGUAAAUCUCAUCGAAGGCUAAAUAACGGCUGGAGACCGAUAGCGAACAAGUACCGUGAGGGAAAGAUGAAAAGCACUUUGAAAAGAGGGUGAAAAGAACCUGAAACCGUCACGAGGGAAGCGAAUUGCGUUGUAAUGAUGGGUGCCUGUGUGUUCAGCCGGUAAAAUGGUGCAUUGACACGGGUUGCUUAUCCGUCGUGGGUUUCCUUGGAUGGAGGGUUUUACAUCCUUGGGGGCUGAGGGCUCCCCGAAUUUAUUUUUGGGUAGAGGACGACGGAGUGACGACGCGACUCGACCCGUCUUGAAACACGGACCAAGGAGUCUAGCGCGGCUGCAAGUCUAAGGGUGAAAAAAGCCUGUGGGCGUAGUGAAAGCGAUGUUUUAUGUGAGAACGAGCAGUUUGAGGCGGCAUUGAAUCGAGUAUUUAAAGUCCGACCUAGAGCAGUUGCGCUGGGACCCGAAAGAUGGUGAACUAUGCCGGAGUAGGGCAAAGCCAGAGGAAACUCUGGUGGAGGCUCGUAGCGGUGCUGACGUGCAAAUCGCUCGUCCAACUUGGGUAUAGGGGCGAAAGACUAAUCGAAUCAUCUAGUAGCUGGUUCCCUCCGAAGUUUCUCUCAGGAUAGCGGGCCGACAUGACGUUUCUGUGUGUGGUAAAGCGAAUGAUUAGCGCAAUUUGGGGACGGACAGUUUUCGGGCGGUUCUCAAACUUUAAAUGCGCAAGGGUGUCGCUGCUUGGUUGAGCGGCACCGCUAAGAACGUCGGCCCUGUGGGCCACUUUUGGUAAGCAGAACUGGCGAUACGGGAUGAACCGUAAGCAUGGUUAAGGCGCCAAACUGCCCGCUUAUAGACCCCACAAAAGGUGUUGAUUCAUCGAGACAGCAGGACGGUGGCCAUGGAAGUUGGCAUCCGCCAAGGAGUGUGUAACAACUCACCUGCCGAAUGGAUUAGCCCUGAAAAUGGAUGGCGCUGAAGCGGGCGGCCGACACCAUGCCGUCUGAACAACAGUUGUGUGUGUCAGAUGAGUAGGAGGGCGUGGGGGUUGUGUCGAAGCAUGCGUGCAAAUGUGUGUGGAACAGCCUCUAGUGCAGAUCUUGGUGGUAGUAGCAAGUAUUCAAGCGAGAACCUUGAAGGGCGAAGCGGGGAAGGGUUCCACGCGAACAUUGAUUGGGUGUGGGUGAGUCGUUCCUAAGCCGAGUGGCAAUUGCAAAAAGUAUCAGGCGAAAGGGAAGCGGGUUGAAAUUCUCGCACACGGAUGUGGAGGCGGUGACGCUUGUUUGGGGCAAAGACGCUGGCGAUGGCGCUGGGCAGAGUUUUCUUUUCUGUUUGACCGCGUUGUGUGCGCUGUGUGGAAUCCGCUUGUCGGGAGAAAUACGCGUAUACGGGCAGAGUGCCGGGGGUUAUCCGGCAUCCAGCUCGCCAUCGACGGCCCUUGAAAAUUUGUCUGCUGAAAUAAAUCCACGCCGUGGCGUACCGAUCACCGCAUCAGGUCCCCAAGGUGAACAGCCUCUGCUCAGUAUGAAAAAUGCAGGUAAGGGAAGUCGGCAAAUUAGACCCGUAACUUUGGGAAAAGGGUUGGCUCUAGUGCUGCGUAGGAGUGGUUGUCAGUUUUUUGGGUAUGUGCAGUGCGGCGGCUGGACAUGCGGGACCCGCAAGGGGCCUGUGUUUGAGGCUGCUGCUAUGUAUGUCUUCGGAGGCCGACGACGCCUACGGCAAGCGGCAGACUAGAACUGCAACGGGCAAAGGGAAUCCGACUGUUUAAUUAAAACAAAGCAUUGCGAGGGCCGAGGACGGUGAUAACGCAAU
Molecule: ribosomal RNA, 2041 nt
Filed under: Rhodophyllis membranacea
Lineage: Eukaryota; Rhodophyta; Florideophyceae; Gigartinales; Cystocloniaceae
Description: partial 28S ribosomal RNA
Rfam family: Eukaryotic large subunit ribosomal RNA
Source: RNAcentral